CUAGAGCAGCCGAUGUCACAGGAAGGCCAAACAGAUCAUCAAGGACAACAACCACCCGAUCCACUCCCUGUUCACCCCGCUAUCAUCCAGAAGGCAUGGUUUCUCUGGUGAUGUAGCUACUGUAUGUACCAUGACCCAGAAGCUCUUUGUCUUGUCUGGUUCUUGUCAGAAGGUCUGAUGUCUAGACCGUGUGCUCCUUCAUGUGUGGUCCAGUUGAACUCUCCUUGACCAUUCGAUGGACCACAAACAGACCAGCAGCUACUGUGACCGCACUACUUCACCUUGACUCUUCACCCCUUUACCUUUGAACCCUCACCCCUGACCCAUACUCUUGACCUCUAACCCCUCACUCCAAACCCUUAACCUUACUCCUCUCCUCUCCUCUCCUCUCCUCUCCUCUCCUCUCCUCUCCUCUCCUCUCCUCUCCUCUCCUCUCCUCUCCUCUC
Long non-coding RNA from Oncorhynchus keta (chum salmon), 446 nucleotides. RefSeq lists it as uncharacterized. Lineage: Eukaryota; Metazoa; Chordata; Actinopteri; Salmoniformes; Salmonidae. The record is from RefSeq and is a predicted model, not a curated record. The transcript has 3 exons.